GUUGUAAAUCCUGCCCACUUCUUUGCAUUGUCAGCACAUGCUUCAGUGCUCUGAGAGUGUUUAUAGUGCUGUGAGUUUAACACUUCAUGACUGAGAGCAGAACAGAACAGAAUCUUCAUCAUCACACAAGACAAAACAACAACAAUGAACAACAUCAUCAUCUUCAUCUGGACACUGCUCUGCUGUAUAAAAGGCUCCAGUGGACAGAUCACAGUUACUCAAACUCCUGCAGUUCGAACAAUUGAACCAGGAAAGGCUGUUGUGAUGAGAUGCACCGCCAGCACUCCUUUAACAGGCUGCAACCCACCAUGUCUGUCCUGGUACUUACAGAAACCUGGAGAAGCUCCUAAACUCCUCAUAUAUAAAGCAACAAGCCGUUACACUGGAACUCCAUCUAGAUUCAGUGGCAGUGGAUCUGGCAGUGAUUUCACUCUGUCCAUCAGUAGAGUCCAGACUGAAGAUACAGGAGAUUAUUACUGUCAGAGUUACCAUAGUGGUCCAGUGUUCACACAGUGAUAAAGAGUCGUACAAAAACCUCUGUCAGUCAGAGUCACAGUGACUGCACUGAUACAGAUGAGAGAAACUGCAGCUGCUGAUGGGAGGAUGACAAACAACACAAUGACACAGCGUAUCACACA
Labeo rohita (rohu) is the source of this 638-nucleotide non-coding RNA. Lineage: Eukaryota; Metazoa; Chordata; Actinopteri; Cypriniformes; Cyprinidae. The record is from the annotation of a RefSeq genome assembly.